GCUGGGCAUGGUGGCGCAAGCCUGUAAUCCCAGCAUCUCGGGAAGCUGAGACAGGAGGACCGCAAGUUCAAAGCCAGCCUCAGCAACGGUAAGGUGCUAAGCCAUUCAGUGAGACUCUGUCUCUA
This 125-nucleotide small RNA is filed under the name Marmota monax (woodchuck). Lineage: Eukaryota; Metazoa; Chordata; Mammalia; Rodentia; Sciuridae. The record is from RNAcentral.